UUUACGGGAGGCAGCAGUGGGGAAUAUUGGGCAAUGGAGGCAACUCUGACCCAGCCAUGCCGCGUGAAGGAUGACUGCCCUAUGGGUUGUAAACUUCUUUUAUAUGGGAAGAAACUUAUCUACGUGUAGAUAACUGACGGUACCAUACGAAUAAGGAUCGGCUAACUCUGUGCCAGCAGCCGCGGUAAU
RNAcentral lists this ribosomal RNA (189 nucleotides) under uncultured bacterium. RNAcentral's name for it is "partial 16S ribosomal RNA". It matches the Rfam family "Bacterial small subunit ribosomal RNA", at positions 338 to 524 of the family's 1533-position model. The record is from RNAcentral.